UCUGAAGCACGCAUUCGGAGGCCUCUGCUCCCUCAGAAACCUUUAAGAAAGAACCCUUUCUUGCCUCUUCCUGGCUUCUGGCUGUUUGCCAGCCAACCUGGACAUCCCCUGGUGGAGCAGUACCACUCCAUCCUUGACCUCUAUAUUCAUCAGAGUGUCCUCGACUUCCUCUUCUUACGAAACAGGUCUUACCUCACAGAUGAAUGGACUAAUGAGGGGAUUUGAUUCAGACCCACACAGACUGGAAAACUGACUUCAAGAUAUAUCCACGGGCCACGUGCAAGAUAUAUCUACGGGCUACAUGCAUUCACCGUGAUCUGGACCCAGGGAGACUAUUCAUAUCACCUGAGAUGGCUAAGCACUUAGAAGGCUAGUAAAACACUCUCCUGGACAUUUCCUUGAGGACAUUUCCAGAGAGGAUCAUCUAACAGAGGAAGCCAUUCCCUCAACCAUGGGCAGCACCUUUCAAUAGACUGGGAACUUGGGUGGAAUCAAAGAUGAAGAAAGAAGCCUGUUACUGCAGACCUUCUCUCUGUCUCUGCCUGACCAGCAGCAGGUGACUAGCUUCUGCCAGUGGUCCUGCUUCCCGAGACUUUGAGUGAAGUAUGGUGGAAUACACCUAUAAUUUUAGUACUUAGGAGGCUGAGGCAGGAGGAUUAUAAGUUUAACCCAGGCUAGCUUGGGUUAUAUAGUAAUACUUAUCUCAAAAAACAAAUGGAUAAACAACUAAAUAAAUAAAUGGAAUGAGAUGAUUAAUCUUUUCAAGGAAA
Mesocricetus auratus (golden hamster) is the source of this 770-nucleotide long non-coding RNA. RefSeq lists it as uncharacterized. The transcript has 2 exons. The record is from RefSeq and is a predicted model, not a curated record. Lineage: Eukaryota; Metazoa; Chordata; Mammalia; Rodentia; Cricetidae.